CGACCGGCGCACGGGUGCGUAACGCGUAUGCAACCUACCUGUAACAGGGGGAUAACACUGAGAAAUCGGUACUAAUACCGCAUAACACUAUGAGAGGCAUCUCUUGUGGUUGAAAGUUUCGGCGGUUACAGAUGGGCAUGCGUUGUAUUAGCUGGUUGGUGAGGUAACGGCUUACCAAGGCGACGAUGCAUAGGGGGACUGAGAGGUUAACCCCCCACAUUGGUACUGAGACACGGACCAAACUCCUACGGGAGGCAGCAG
This 261-nucleotide ribosomal RNA is filed under the name uncultured bacterium. RNAcentral's name for it is "partial 16S ribosomal RNA". It matches the Rfam family "Bacterial small subunit ribosomal RNA", at positions 92 to 354 of the family's 1533-position model. The record is from RNAcentral.